CAACUCACCUGCCGAAUGAAUUAGCCCUGAAAAUGGAUGGCGCUCAAGCGUAGUACCCAUACCUCACCGUCAGCGUUUAUGUGACGCGCUGACGAGUAGGCAGGCGUGGAGGUCAGUGAAGAAGCCUUGGCAGUGAUGCUGGGUGAAACGGCCUCUAGUGCAGAUCUUGGUGGAAGUAGCAAAUAUUCAAGUGAGAACCUUGAAGACUGAAGUGGAGAAAGGUUCCAUGGUAACAGCAGUUGGACAUGGGUUAGUCGAUCCUAAGAGAUAGGGAAGCUCCGUUUUAAAGUGCAUGAUUAUCCAUGCCACCCAUCGAAAGGGAAUCCGGUUAAGAUUCCGGAACCAGGACAUGGAUCUUUGACGGUAACGUAAAUGAAGUUGGUGACGCUGGUAAGGGCCCUGGGAAGAGUUAUCUUUUCUCCUUGACCGUCUAUAACCUUGAAAUCGGAUUAUCCGGAGAUAAGGUUCAAUGACGGGCAAAGUGCAGCACUUCUGUUGCAUCCGGUGCGUCCUUAACAGUCCUUGAAAAACCGACGGAACGUAUUACUCUCAUGCCUGGUCGUACUCAUAACCGCAGCAGGUCUCCAAGGUGAAAAGCCUCUAGUUGAUAGAACAAUGUAGAUAAGGGAAGCC
RNAcentral lists this ribosomal RNA (633 nucleotides) under Chloropicon mariensis. RNAcentral's name for it is "partial Eukaryotic large subunit ribosomal RNA". It matches the Rfam family "Eukaryotic large subunit ribosomal RNA", at positions 1286 to 1915 of the family's 3401-position model. The record is from RNAcentral. Lineage: Eukaryota; Viridiplantae; Chlorophyta; Chloropicophyceae; Chloropicales; Chloropicaceae.